AUGUGUCGAAAUUGAGGAUUAGGCACAUCCUUGAUAAUGUGCCAUUUUACUGGGAAGAAUCCAUUCCACUUGUCCUGUUGCCAGAAGUUCAUACUCUUGUUGAAAUCUACUGGGCCAAGCAUCUCAGCCACACCACAGAACUGACCACUAGCAUUAACCUGGCCAUUAUAG
Molecule: ribosomal RNA, 171 nt
Filed under: Triticum aestivum (bread wheat)
Lineage: Eukaryota; Viridiplantae; Streptophyta; Magnoliopsida; Poales; Poaceae
Description: partial small subunit ribosomal RNA
Source: RNAcentral